AACGCACGAGACCUGCGGACCUGCGGAGGGAUCAUUAGUGAACGCCCUCGCGGGCUUAUAACUAUUCCAAACCUCUGUGAACCGUGCCCUUCGGGGCUAUUUUACAAACAUGGUGUAAUGAACGUCAUAUAUCAUAACAAAACAAAACUUUCAGCAAUGGAUCUCU
RNAcentral lists this unclassified non-coding RNA (166 nucleotides) under soil metagenome. RNAcentral describes it as "partial contains 5.8S ribosomal RNA, internal transcribed spacer 2, and large subunit ribosomal RNA". The record is from RNAcentral.